UACGUAGGUGGCAAGCGUUGUCCGGAAUUAUUGGGCGUAAAGCGCGCGCAGGCGGUCUCUUAAGCCUGAUGUGAAAUCCCGUGGCUUAACCACGGGCGGUCAUUGGAAACUGGGGGACUUGAGUGCAGAAGAGAAGAGCGGAAUUCCACGUGUAGCGGUGAAAUGCGUAGAGAUGUGGAGGAACACCAGUGGCGAAGGCGGCUCUUUGGUCUGUAACUGACGCUGAGGCGCGAAAGCGUGGGGAGCGAACAGG
Molecule: ribosomal RNA, 253 nt
Filed under: uncultured bacterium
Lineage: Bacteria
Description: partial 16S ribosomal RNA
Rfam family: Bacterial small subunit ribosomal RNA
Source: RNAcentral